RNAcentral lists this ribosomal RNA (2930 nucleotides) under Escherichia coli. RNAcentral's name for it is "23S ribosomal RNA". It matches the Rfam family "Bacterial large subunit ribosomal RNA". The record is from RNAcentral. Lineage: Bacteria; Pseudomonadati; Pseudomonadota; Gammaproteobacteria; Enterobacterales; Enterobacteriaceae.
GGGUUGUGAGGUUAAGCGACUAAGCGUACACGGUGGAUGCCCUGGCAGUCAGAGGCGAUGAAGGACGUGCUAAUCUGCGAUAAGCGUCGGUAAGGUGAUAUGAACCGUUAUAACCGGCGAUUUCCGAAUGGGGAAACCCAGUGUGUUUCGACACACUAUCAUUAACUGAAUCCAUAGGUUAAUGAGGCGAACCGGGGGAACUGAAACAUCUAAGUACCCCGAGGAAAAGAAAUCAACCGAGAUUCCCCCAGUAGCGGCGAGCGAACGGGGAGCAGCCCAGAGCCUGAAUCAGUGUGUGUGUUAGUGGAAGCGUCUGGAAAGGCGCGCGAUACAGGGUGACAGCCCCGUACACAAAAAUGCACAUGCUGUGAGCUCGAUGAGUAGGGCGGGACACGUGGUAUCCUGUCUGAAUAUGGGGGGACCAUCCUCCAAGGCUAAAUACUCCUGACUGACCGAUAGUGAACCAGUACCGUGAGGGAAAGGCGAAAAGAACCCCGGCGAGGGGAGUGAAAAAGAACCUGAAACCGUGUACGUACAAGCAGUGGGAGCACGCUUAGACGUGUGACUGCGUACCUUUUGUAUAAUGGGUCAGCGACUUAUAUUCUGUAGCAAGGUUAACCGAAUAGGGGAGCCGAAGGGAAACCGAGUCUUAACUGGGCGUUAAGUUGCAGGGUAUAGACCCGAAACCCGGUGAUCUAGCCAUGGGCAGGUUGAAGGUUGGGUAACACUAACUGGAGGACCGAACCGACUAAUGUUGAAAAAUUAGCGGAUGACUUGUGGCUGGGGGUGAAAGGCCAAUCAAACCGGGAGAUAGCUGGUUCUCCCCGAAAGCUAUUUAGGUAGCGCCUCGUGAAUUCAUCUCCGGGGGUAGAGCACUGUUUCGGCAAGGGGGUCAUCCCGACUUACCAACCCGAUGCAAACUGCGAAUACCGGAGAAUGUUAUCACGGGAGACACACGGCGGGUGCUAACGUCCGUCGUGAAGAGGGAAACAACCCAGACCGCCAGCUAAGGUCCCAAAGUCAUGGUUAAGUGGGAAACGAUGUGGGAAGGCCCAGACAGCCAGGAUGUUGGCUUAGAAGCAGCCAUCAUUUAAAGAAAGCGUAAUAGCUCACUGGUCGAGUCGGCCUGCGCGGAAGAUGUAACGGGGCUAAACCAUGCACCGAAGCUGCGGCAGCGACGCUUAUGCGUUGUUGGGUAGGGGAGCGUUCUGUAAGCCUGUGAAGGUGUGCUGUGAGGCAUGCUGGAGGUAUCAGAAGUGCGAAUGCUGACAUAAGUAACGAUAAAGCGGGUGAAAAGCCCGCUCGCCGGAAGACCAAGGGUUCCUGUCCAACGUUAAUCGGGGCAGGGUGAGUCGACCCCUAAGGCGAGGCCGAAAGGCGUAGUCGAUGGGAAACAGGUUAAUAUUCCUGUACUUGGUGUUACUGCGAAGGGGGGACGGAGAAGGCUAUGUUGGCCGGGCGACGGUUGUCCCGGUUUAAGCGUGUAGGCUGGUUUUCCAGGCAAAUCCGGAAAAUCAAGGCUGAGGCGUGAUGACGAGGCACUACGGUGCUGAAGCAACAAAUGCCCUGCUUCCAGGAAAAGCCUCUAAGCAUCAGGUAACAUCAAAUCGUACCCCAAACCGACACAGGUGGUCAGGUAGAGAAUACCAAGGCGCUUGAGAGAACUCGGGUGAAGGAACUAGGCAAAAUGGUGCCGUAACUUCGGGAGAAGGCACGCUGAUAUGUAGGUGAAGCGACUUGCUCGUGGAGCUGAAAUCAGUCGAAGAUACCAGCUGGCUGCAACUGUUUAUUAAAAACACAGCACUGUGCAAACACGAAAGUGGACGUAUACGGUGUGACGCCUGCCCGGUGCCGGAAGGUUAAUUGAUGGGGUUAGCGCAAGCGAAGCUCUUGAUCGAAGCCCCGGUAAACGGCGGCCGUAACUAUAACGGUCCUAAGGUAGCGAAAUUCCUUGUCGGGUAAGUUCCGACCUGCACGAAUGGCGUAAUGAUGGCCAGGCUGUCUCCACCCGAGACUCAGUGAAAUUGAACUCGCUGUGAAGAUGCAGUGUACCCGCGGCAAGACGGAAAGACCCCGUGAACCUUUACUAUAGCUUGACACUGAACAUUGAGCCUUGAUGUGUAGGAUAGGUGGGAGGCUUUGAAGUGUGGACGCCAGUCUGCAUGGAGCCGACCUUGAAAUACCACCCUUUAAUGUUUGAUGUUCUAACGUUGACCCGUAAUCCGGGUUGCGGACAGUGUCUGGUGGGUAGUUUGACUGGGGCGGUCUCCUCCUAAAGAGUAACGGAGGAGCACGAAGGUUGGCUAAUCCUGGUCGGACAUCAGGAGGUUAGUGCAAUGGCAUAAGCCAGCUUGACUGCGAGCGUGACGGCGCGAGCAGGUGCGAAAGCAGGUCAUAGUGAUCCGGUGGUUCUGAAUGGAAGGGCCAUCGCUCAACGGAUAAAAGGUACUCCGGGGAUAACAGGCUGAUACCGCCCAAGAGUUCAUAUCGACGGCGGUGUUUGGCACCUCGAUGUCGGCUCAUCACAUCCUGGGGCUGAAGUAGGUCCCAAGGGUAUGGCUGUUCGCCAUUUAAAGUGGUACGCGAGCUGGGUUUAGAACGUCGUGAGACAGUUCGGUCCCUAUCUGCCGUGGGCGCUGGAGAACUGAGGGGGGCUGCUCCUAGUACGAGAGGACCGGAGUGGACGCAUCACUGGUGUUCGGGUUGUCAUGCCAAUGGCACUGCCCGGUAGCUAAAUGCGGAAGAGAUAAGUGCUGAAAGCAUCUAAGCACGAAACUUGCCCCGAGAUGAGUUCUCCCUGACCCUUUAAGGGUCCUGAAGGAACGUUGAAGACGACGACGUUGAUAGGCCGGGUGUGUAAGCGCAGCGAUGCGUUGAGCUAACCGGUACUAAUGAACCGUGAGGCUUAACCUUACAACGCCGAAGCUGUU